RNAcentral lists this ribosomal RNA (2327 nucleotides) under Sphingomonas adhaesiva. RNAcentral's name for it is "bacterial LSU rRNA". It matches the Rfam family "Bacterial large subunit ribosomal RNA", at positions 1 to 2442 of the family's 2925-position model. The record is from RNAcentral. Lineage: Bacteria; Pseudomonadati; Pseudomonadota; Alphaproteobacteria; Sphingomonadales; Sphingomonadaceae.
GUGGGCUCUCAAGCGUGAGGUAAGGGCAAUUCGUGGAUGCCUUGGCGCAUACAGGCGAUGAAGGACGUGGCACGCUGCGAUAAGCUGCGGUGAGGUGUGAGCAACCUUUGACCCGCAGAUUUCCGAAUGGGGAAACCCACUCAUCCUGAUUAUCUAGCCUAUUGGGCUAGGUAAUUGGGACUAUGAGUAUCUCGAUACUGAAUACAUAGGUUUCGAGAAGCGAACCCGGGGAACUGAAACAUCUCAGUACCUGGAGGAAAAGACAUCAACCGAGAUUCCGUUAGUAGUGGCGAGCGAACGCGGACCAGGCCAGUGCCAUCUAUUCAACUAGCAGAACGAUCUGGAAAGUUCGGCCGUAGCGGGUGACAGCCCCGUAUGCGAAAGUGAUGUGGAUGGACUCGAGUAGGGCGGGACACGUGUAAUCCUGUCUGAACAUGGGGGGACCACCCUCCAAGCCUAAAUACUCGUAUGCGACCGAUAGCGAACUAGUACCGUGAGGGAAAGGUGAAAAGCACCCCGAUGAGGGGAGUGAAACAGUACCUGAAACGGAUUGCCUACAAGCAGUAGGAGGGGUCUUGUGCCCUGACUGCGUACCUCUUGCAUAAUGGGUCUGUGACUUAAUGUACCAAGCAAGCUUAAGCCGAUAGGUGUAGGCGCAGCGAAAGCGAGUCUGAAUAGGGCGACCAUAGUUUGGUGUAUUAGACCCGAAACCCGGCGAUCUAGGCAUGACCAGGAUGAAGGUGUGGUAACACACACUGGAGGUCCGAACCGAUUAACGUUGAAAAGUUACCGGAUGAGUUGUGUUUAGGGGUGAAAGGCCAAUCAAGCCGGGAAAUAGCUGGUUCUCCGCGAAAACUAUUGAGGUAGUGCCUCAGACGAACACCGCAGGGGGUAGAGCACUGGAUGGGCUAGGGGGUCGCGAGAUCUACCAAACCUAACCAAACUCCGAAUACCUGCGAGUGCUAUCUGGGAGACAGACGGCGGGUGCUAAGGUCCGUCGUCAAAAGGGAAACAGCCCUGACCUACAGCUAAGGUCCCCAAGUCACGUCUAAGUGGGAAAGCAUGUGGGAAUCCCAAAACAACCAGGAGGUUGGCUUAGAAGCAGCCAUCCUUUAAAGAAAGCGUAACAGCUCACUGGUCUAAACAAGGGUUCCUGCGGCGAAGAUGUAACGGGGCUCAAGACGUGCACCGAAGCUUAGGGUGUGGAUUUAUCCACGCGGUAGCGGAGCGUUCCGUAAGCCUGCGAAGCGAUCUGGUAAUGGGUCGUGGAGGUAUCGGAAGUGCGAAUGCAGACAUGAGUAGCGAUAAAGAGGGUGAGAUGCCCUCUCGCCGAAAGACCAAGGGUUCCUGCGCAAGGCUAAUCCGCGCAGGGUGAGCCGGCCCCUAAGACGAGCCCGAAGGGGGUAGUCGAUGGGAAUGCGGUUAAUAUUCCGCAGCCUGGUGGUGUGUGACGGAUGGCGUGUGUUGUCGGCUCUUAACGGAUUGAGCCGGCUUCGAAGCUGUCCCGGGAAAUAGCCCCACCGUAUAGACCGUACCCGAAACCGACACAGGUGGUCAGGUAGAGUAUACCAAGGCGCUUGAGAGAAGUGUCCUGAAGGAACUCGGCAAAUUGCCUCCGUACCUUCGGAAGAAGGAGGCCCCAUGUAAGCGCAAGCUCUCAUGGGGGGCACAGGCCAGGGGGUAGCGACUGUUUAGCAAAAACACAGGGCUCUGCUAAGUCGGCUUCAAGACGACGUAUAGGGUCUGACGCCUGCCCGGUGCCGGAAGGUUAAGUGGAGGGGUGCAAGCUCCGAAAUGAAGCCCCGGUAAACGGCGGCCGUAACUAUAACGGUCCUAAGGUAGCGAAAUUCCUUGUCGGGUAAGUUCCGACCUGCACGAAUGGCGUAACGACUUCCCCACUGUCUCCAGGACAUGCUCAGCGAAAUUGAAUUCUCCGUGAAGAUGCGGAGUACCCGCGGUUAGACGGAAAGACCCCGUGCACCUUUACUGCAGCUUCAGAGUGGCAGUGGACAAGAACUGUGUAGCAUAGGUGGGAGGCUAUGAAGCAUCGGCGCCAGCUGAUGGGGAGCCAUAGGUGAAAUACCACCCUGUUGUUGUCUACUGUCUAACCUCGUUCCGUGAAGCCGGAACAGGGACCCUCUGUGGCGGGUAGUUUGACUGGGGCGGUCGCCUCCUAAAGAGUAACGGAGGCGCGCGAAGGUUGGCUCAGGACGGUUGGAAACCGUCUGUUAGAGUGCAAUGGCAUAAGCCAGCCUGACUGCGAGACUGACAAGUCGAGCAGAGACGAAAGUCGGUCAUAGUGAUCCGGUGGUCCCUCGUGGAAGGGC